UCCUGGCUUAACUAAAAGCUGAGCCAUCACUGUCAUUAGCAACAUUGAUACAACAGCACCCUUCAUUUUUGCUGGUACUAUACUUUGAACUGCGACCCACUAAUCGCUUCUAGCUGCUUGUUUUAGUUUUGGUAUGCUUUGAAGUGAAAUUGGAGGAUGUAUAUAUAGGCAUUUGAAGUUGAAGAAUGUUACAAGUUGUGGGUCAUGCCACAGCAAUAGCUGUUAGUGUAUUUUGUCAUCUGCUUUAUCUGUUGGUUUCCCAAAAUAGUAAAUAGGGAUGGGCUUCUGAAUCAUGUUUGCACUUUCUGUUGGGUCAUGUCUGGCUUGGUGAAAGGAGUAUCACCAUAGCUGGUUGUAAUAAAAUUUCCAGCAUCUUGGAUCAUAAUAUAAGGUAAUUGAAAGUGAUAAUCAUGUUUUAGAUAUUAGUAAGUAAAUUAGUAAGCGUUCAUCUCUCAUUCAUACAUGAGAAUGUGUGUGUAAUUUAUGCUUGUAUAUCUCUUUUUUUCUGAACGAUUCAAUUGCGUUUUUUGUCCUUCUAUUUCUUCUUUUCCCUUCUUAUUAUAUGUUAUGGCAACUCUGAGAAGGAAUAUCAGUGACUUAAGGUAAGGAUUUAGUAAUCACUCUAGAUAAGCAUAAUAUAUAGUAGUCAGUAACAUCUCUUGAUGACUACAUGCUUAGUGAGACAAAUAGUUGAGCUGGCUGAUCAAUUAUAUCUCAAAGUUAAUAAUGACAAAGGAAGAUUAAACCUUUUUGUGCGCCUAAAGAUCCAACAACGAGCAAUUCAGCAAAAGAAAUGAUGAGUCAAGUAUAAAAGAAGAGGCAAGAUUGUUGAAGUUUAUACUUAGGAAUUCUGUUUGAAACUGUGUGGAACGAUGAUAUUAGAUCUUUCCUAAUAGUUUGAAAAUUUAAAUUAAUUACACCUAAUUAAAUUAUUGAGAAAGUUAUGUAAAGGUUUUUGGUGUUUUGAUGUAACUAUAACUGGGUCCAGUAUUUCUCAAAAUAACAAUUUAAAGUGAGCUGAAAUUAAUAAAUAUAUUUUCCUUUGCAGGAACUGAAUUGUUACUUUUAGAAAAUAAACUGGUUGUGAUUAUUAAAACUUAAAAAUCUCCAUCUGAUUUAGUUUCGGUUAUUUCACAUUGUAUGUAUAGAUUUGCAUUAAUACUGGAGUAUUAUUAUAUAGCUUGGCCUUAUAUAAAAAUCUCAGAUGCAACCUAUUGUUUUCGCCCCCAUUGUUGUUGUUCUUCUUAGAUAAAACAAAAAAUGUAUUGAAAAGAGAGAAUGAACUUUGUUUACUUUGGAUUCAACUCACACUUGCUCGUUUAUCUCUACUAUUUAUGUAGGAUUAGGGAGAGACCAGCAACUUGUAUUUGUAUUAUGAAGAAGUCAACCUAACAACUGAGAUUGGUUCCAAUAUGAAUACCAAAUUGGUUGCAGUAUUCCUUGUAGGAAUGAAUCCGAGCAUGAACAGCUCCAGGGUUUUCGCCAUUGCAAUCUUUGCCAUUGGUGGCCCAGAUAGUUGCUUAGAAGCCUUGCCUCAUGACAGAUCGAACGUUUGAUAUCUAGAACCACAAGGCUGUCUUGAAAGACACGAGGGGAUCCUUGCCCACGGUUUCUUCGUAAUUAAUGUUAUUUCUUUUUUUGUUACAAUUCGCACACACAUAUAUAUAUAUAUAGGGUUCUAAUAUUCAAUGAAGUAUACAACAAUUUAUUCUUCUACAGAUAAUGCACUUGAGAUUGUUGCUUUAAUUAUCUCCAGUUUUUGUUCAAUUCAUCUGUAGGAGCUUUCAGUAACUAAUGUGAUAUGGAGCUGGGCACUAGCAUCUAAAAGUUAGGUUCCCUUUGACGUUAUUGUUAUUCCUAAUAAUUGAUAAAGACUGAAGAAAAAGCCACACAAAAAAAAAAGGGUUGCAGCAGAAGAGAUAAGAUGAGGCAAAAAGACAAUGUUAUGGUUUAGGUGCAGAACUGACUGGAGAGAGGAAAUCUGGUUAAAUGUUUUAAUUAAUUAGGGCAAAGAUUAGGUAGAAUAUGAAUUAUUUUAUGUUAUUUCCGAAUCAAGAUAGAUUAAACAUACUUAAAAUUAAAAAUUUUGUAUAUAAUAUUUGUCUUUAUUAGACUGGGAGUUUAUAAGCAUCCAUUAGAGAGGAAACCUUAUUUUAUGGCUUACCUAUAAGUUUACAGUCAAUAUAAAUAAAAUUAAUAAGACAGUAAUUAAUUAAGAACAGAUAUUAGAGAAUUUUAACUUUAGAGAUCGGUGGAUUUUCUUUAAUGAUCCUCAAAAUCUAGUUCCAAAUAUCUCAACCCAUUAUCUGAUCCAAACGCACAUCCAUAACCAUGCUGCAUCUUUGGCAUGCUCAGAAUUAGUUUGAAGAAAAGGAAGUCCAAAUUAGACUUACUUAAAGCUUGAUGCUCUCUGAAAAUUUAGUCAUUAAUUUACUGAAUUAUGGAGAUUUUGGCCCGAGCAGGGUACACCCUGGUGGAAUCUUUUAAUGUGGGUUCAAUCAUAUCAUUAUGAUUAUGAAUAGAAGAAACAAAACUUCUGAGCUCAUUCUUAGAAAAUAUUGUUUGAUAUUAUGUAUGGAAAUUCAUCCUGGUGUAGAUUAUAGCAGUGUGAUCAUACUAAAUCUUCUAGUGUAGUAUAUUUAUAUAAAUAUAUAGACAUAUAUAGAUAAGUAGAUAUAUAGAUAGAUAGAUAGAGGGAGAGAGAGAGAGAGAGAGAGAAUGUUGGUAUUUUGUACGAAAAUUCAUCCUGGUGUAGAUUAUAGCAAUGUAAUCACACUAGAUCUUCUAGUGUAGUAUGUUUAUAAAUAUAUAGAC
Molecule: long non-coding RNA, 2814 nt
Filed under: Carica papaya (papaya)
Lineage: Eukaryota; Viridiplantae; Streptophyta; Magnoliopsida; Brassicales; Caricaceae
Description: long non-coding RNA (CPAP_LNC012090)
Source: RNAcentral